UGGAUGGGUGUGUAGUGCGGUGCUGCUUGGUAGAAGAAGGGAGGAGGGUGAGCAGACGUCAUACAAGGAGGGACGGUGAAAGGAAGGCUCACAUGUGCCGCUGCCUUAUUUAACCUGGAUUUUCGCUGAACAGGACAGUGACAUGGGCCAUGACUACCACUGUGUGCUGGUGCAGGCUUGCUGCUUGGCGGGAAGUGCCUGUGAGGGCCAGCAGCUUGUCAGGAGGGCCAGGGAGACUCAGAAUAUUGGUUGGGACCACUCAAGAGACCUGCCCAAGUGUUAGUUUGUGAUGGAGGGGCAGCUGGUGAUGGGCAAGCUUGGGGAUCUACUGGAGGAGCAGGAAGAACCUGGAGGGAAUGGUGGAAGUGAAGUACUUGAAGAAGCUCCCUACACUCACCCCCAAGGAUUCCUUCCACCUUGACGACUGGUUUUCUGCUGUACAGACCACUGGCCGCUGACAGGGUGUGACAUCAAUAUCCAACACCUGUGGUAUGUGCAGGAGCUGGCAGAGGGGCAGGGUGACAGGGCCCACUACCUCACCAUCCCUGCCCACCAUGCCCCUGACAAGUUCGUCACCUGGGUACAUGCUCAGGCACCCCUGCAGUUAUUCUCUAGGCGAGGACGACAGUUGGAAUCCGUGUGAGAUAGUAGGCCGGCCCAACUUCCAGUAGUGAUGGAUGGGGAGGCAUGCCUGGUGUGUCCUGGGAGCAAUGUGUUUGAUGAGGCUCUGGGAUGACUGAAGUGUGUCUGGUGAAGGAUUAUGAAGGGUAUAUGCUUGUGUUCUUAAAGGCUUAACGUCUUUAUCAUGGCAUUCAGUAGGCCAUAGUGGAAGUUGUGGGGCUUGACAUUUGUAUCACAACAUUGAACAGGCCAUAUUGGAAGUUGUCAGUGUGUGAGUGAUGAAAAUGCAAAAUUGUAGGUGUCAGAUUUUGUUUCCUUGAAAAUUAACUCUAUGCUGUAAUUUUUUAUCUAUUUUUUUCUUUGUUUUACAUAUCUUAGAUGAGUUUAGUUUUUGUCAUUAGUAUAUCCAGCCUAUCUAUCUGUUCAUCUAACACCUUCAUCAGUGCACAGGUGGAGAGUGUGAGGGUGACAGUGAGAUGAUGCCUUGCAGGGUGCCUGUCUAUUGUGCCUCUCUCUGUACAUUGAUGCCUAAGAGAACAUUUUGGUCAUAUCCUAGUCAGAGAAUAGAUGAACUAUACCUGUGUGUGUGUGUGUGUGUGGCCAACACUAUGUAUGUAUAUAUUUAUUGACUUUACAAUGGUGUUUAUUGCUCCUGUUUAUUAUUAUUCAUUCUACAGUGGUGUUUAUUGCUGCUGUUUUCACUUUGUGUUCAGAUUUUCAUGUGUAAUUUCUCUCUCUAUUCCAUUUGAUGUAAUUACAUUAGUGUUCAGUGUAUAGUCCUGUUCUAAGUAGUUAUGUUGUAACUCCAAUCAUCCAGUGCCAUGCCUGAACUAAUUCCACUCUCAUUUUGUUGGAAUUCAUUCAUUCCUCUUCAUUAUUAUUUGUCUAUU
Long non-coding RNA from Scylla paramamosain (green mud crab), 1511 nucleotides. RefSeq lists it as uncharacterized. The transcript has 4 exons. The record is from RefSeq and is a predicted model, not a curated record. NCBI's taxonomy places the organism in Eukaryota, Metazoa, Arthropoda, Malacostraca, Decapoda, Portunidae.